This 1466-nucleotide long non-coding RNA is filed under the name Populus tremula. RNAcentral describes it as "long non-coding RNA (PTRE_LNC002455)". The record is from RNAcentral. Lineage: Eukaryota; Viridiplantae; Streptophyta; Magnoliopsida; Malpighiales; Salicaceae.
AUUCUUCAUCCAAGAGGUAAACAGUUAACAUAGCAGUAGGAAGCAGACAAAACCGAGUUCAGCAAUAGUAAUUUGUUCAAGUUGAUGGCAAGCAGAGUAUACUCUGGACUUUCGAGGGAAAACUCAAGAAUAUGAAUGGAGAUUAAUAUAUAUUCUCAAGGCACAGCAGAAUUGCCAGUGAAAGAAAUCAAAGAGCAAAGCUUUUAAAAGAGUGUCACAAAAGAGGUGGACCCAUAUGAUCAAUCUGCAGUCUUUUAGAAGCUAGCAGGUAAAGAAGAUGAAAACAUAGUGGUAGCAGUGUGUGUGUGUGUGUGUGUGACUACAAUAGAAAGUACCUUAAUAUUAUAUAUCAUAGAGCUGCUUCCAACUCCAAUUCUCCAUCCAAGAGGUAAACAGUUAACAUAGCAGUAAGAAGCAGACAAAACCGAGUUCAGCAAUAGUAAUUUGUUCUAGUUGAUGGCAGGCAGAGUAUACUCUGGACUUUCGAGGGAAAACUCAAGAAUAUGAAUGGAGAUUAAUAUAUAUUCUCAAGGCACAGCAGAAUUGCCAGUGAAUGAAAUCAAAGAGCAAAGCUUUUAAAAAGAGUGUCACAAAAGAGGUGGACCCAUAUGAUCAAUCUGCAGUCUUUUAGAAGCUAGCAGGUAAAGAAGAUGAAAACAUAGUAGCAGUGGUGGGGGUGGUGUUGGGUGACAAGAUGGAUGAACAUAAAAUGAUGAGGUAGGUGGAAUCAGAAAUUAGAAGCAUGUUAUAAAGAGUGGGGGUUGCAUUGUUUGGAAAAGAAAUCAUUGUUUUCAAUCAAAGAUUUCAACCGGUCGAAAGUGAAGUUAGGAUUAUUGGGGUCGCUUGUUUGAGACUGGAGGGUGGCUGAUGUUGAAGAAGAUUCCAAAGUAGGGGGCUGCUUAAAACAAAAGAAAAUAGGUCUACUAAUCUUACCUGGAAAACAAGCAUUACCAGAAACAGCGGCAGAAGAAGAAGGAGAUUGGGAAAAAGGGGAGCUUUUUUUAUAGAAAAAUUUGUUGGGGUUAUUAAAUGGAAAGAAGAGCACUUUGGUUGGCUUAUUGAAAUCAAUGUUUCCACCACCACCACCACCAUCACCACCGGAUAAUCGAUGAUCACUAGUACUGUAAUUUUCUCUGAAAGAAACAUCUUUCUUCUUCUUCUUCUUAUUGGUCACCAUAAACUUAUUCUUCUUCUUCUUGAUGCAGUGGUUGUUGGUGGAAGUGAGGUGGGGUCUAUUUUCUGCUUGAUCUUGAAUAUCGUCAUCUUCUUUAGAAAUAUUCAGCCCAGUAUCUGACACAAACAUAGAGUGUGUAUAAAUUUAAACCUGCGUUUGCGUUUGGAAAAAGAAGAAAGGAUGAGGACCGGAUUUGUCUUGAAUUCUAUUAUACCGUCUAUUGUUAUUGCAAGAGGAGAAAUAGAAGGAUGAGAGAGAGAGAGAGAGAGAGAGAGCAAUAAAAUACAGCACU